This 136-nucleotide ribosomal RNA is filed under the name Escherichia coli. RNAcentral describes it as "partial 16S ribosomal RNA". It matches the Rfam family "Bacterial small subunit ribosomal RNA", at positions 1 to 127 of the family's 1533-position model. Lineage: Bacteria; Pseudomonadati; Pseudomonadota; Gammaproteobacteria; Enterobacterales; Enterobacteriaceae. The record is from RNAcentral. RNAcentral also lists the same sequence under 3 other names.
UUAAAUUGAAGAGUUUGAUCAUGGCUCAGAUUGAACGCUGGCGGCAGGCCUAACACAUGCAAGUCGAACGGUAACAGGAAGAAGCUUGCUUCUUUGCUGACGAGUGGCGGACGGGUGAGUAAUGUCUGGGAAACUG